Non-coding RNA from Corylus avellana, 1081 nucleotides. Lineage: Eukaryota; Viridiplantae; Streptophyta; Magnoliopsida; Fagales; Betulaceae. The record is from RefSeq and is a predicted model, not a curated record.
UCAAACUGCCGCUCCUAAGUCAACCAACACUCAUUGCUUUCGUGUCUCCGAGCGGCGGCGAAGACACGGUCCUUGAGAGUUUGGUGUCCCUGCGCCACCACGGAAUCCUUCUCCUCCGUUUGCGGAGAACAAUUUCGUGGGAUCACUGGCUGAGCCAGCUAGUCUCCCCGCUGAGGUGAUCGGCGGCUGAGCAGCUAGCAUUCGCAGGGUGGUCUUGCGGCGACGGAGUUGGACGACUGGGCUCGUCCUUGGGCUCCGCAUUAGCCUCGGCGCCACGCCGCACUGAGUCGCCAGCAGCUUGCACUUCUGAAGCGUUGCCAUGUCUGUCCAGGUGCACUAACAGCUCAGCAAUCUGGAGUAUCAAAAAUCUGCAUUCAGGGUGAUGAAAUUCCAGAAGGAACAGAGCAAAUUCAAAUAUAAACAGAGCUCCCAACUUGUCAUUGCCUAGGGAGACAUCAACUGAAGCACAUAAAAAUUAUAAUCAGCAGUAGAAUCGCAUAUCUCUUGAUCCUUCUGUAAUUGCUCCUCACAGAAACUCAGGAACAAUGAAGCAGAGAAUGCUUCUCACACCUUUUCAAAGACUUUCCCUCUAACCUUCCGUUCUUCCAGUUCAAGGACUUCAUCUGAAGGAGCAGCAGCAGAACUAGUUUUGCAUUCUGUUUCAGAAACUUGUGUGUUAAAGGGACUUUAUAUCUAAUCCUACAACAUUAAAGAAAAGGCUCAUGGUAGUUGGGCUUGCAAUGCUUCUUCUUUAUCCAUUUCUGGUCAUUUUCAUGCUGGUGCUGGUGUAUCUCUUCCUGAGGCAUGCUGACCUGUUCUCAAAGGUCGCCGAGUUUAGGGCUAGCAAAACAGGUACAUGAUAUGACCCGUUUAUUCUAUGCAUGUUUUUUUUUAUAAUAAGGUUCAUCUAAGCGUCAUAAAGAAUAAUUUCAUAUAUAGGAUAAACGAGUACCUGUUUAUUUGCCAGGUACCUGUUUUGCCAACCCUAGUCGAGUUUGUCCAAGUGAAUUUUUAGGGAAUAUAAUGAGGUAAUUAAUAUUUUUGUUGCUAUUUUAUUGAGCUCAUCCAAAUGACUUUAGUA